UACAGGGGGGGCAAGCGUUGUUCGGAUUCACUGGGCGUGCAGGGUGUGUAGGCGGUUUGGUAAGCCUUCUGUUAAAGCUUCGGGCCCAACCCGGAAAGCGCAGAGGGUACUGCCAGGCUAGAGGACGGGAGAGGAGCGCGGAAUUCCCCGUGUAGCAGUGAAAUGCGUAGAGAUGUGGAGGAAUACCGAUGGCGAAGGCAGCCCCCUGGGAUGACACUGACGCUCAUGCACGAAAGCGUGGGGAGCAAACAGG
This 253-nucleotide ribosomal RNA is filed under the name uncultured bacterium. RNAcentral's name for it is "partial 16S ribosomal RNA". It matches the Rfam family "Bacterial small subunit ribosomal RNA", at positions 524 to 776 of the family's 1533-position model. The record is from RNAcentral.